Molecule: ribosomal RNA, 492 nt
Filed under: uncultured bacterium
Lineage: Bacteria
Description: partial 16S ribosomal RNA
Rfam family: Bacterial small subunit ribosomal RNA
Source: RNAcentral
AGUGAACGCUGGCGGUAGGCCUAACACAUGCAAGUCGAACGGCAGCACAGUAAGAGCUUGCUCUUACGGGUGGCGAGUGGCGGACGGGUGAGGAAUACAUCGGAAUCUACUUUUUCGUGGGGGAUAACGUAGGGAAACUUACGCUAAUACCGCAUACGACCUACAGGUGAAAGCAGGGGAUCUUCGGACCUUGCGCGAUUGAAUGAGCCGAUGUCGGAUUAGCUAGUUGGCGGGGUAAAGGCCCACCAAGGCGACGAUCCGUAGCUGGUCUGAGAGGAUGAUCAGCCACACUGGAACUGAGACACGGUCCAGACUCCUACGGGAGGCAGCAGUGGGGAAUAUUGGACAAUGGGCGCAAGCCUGAUCCAGCCAUACCGCGUGGGUGAAGAAGGCCUUCGGGUUGUAAAGCCCCUUUGUUGGGAAAGAAAAGCAGCAGGUUAAUACCCCGCUGUUCUGACGGUACCCAAAGAAUAAGCACCGGCUAACUUCGUG